Ribosomal RNA from Pteropus vampyrus (large flying fox), 121 nucleotides. The record is from Ensembl. NCBI's taxonomy places the organism in Eukaryota, Metazoa, Chordata, Mammalia, Chiroptera, Pteropodidae.
GUCUAUGCCCAUGCCACCUUGAACAUGCCUGAUCUCAUCUGAUCUUGGAAGUUAAGCAAGGUCAGGUCUGGUUAGUACUUGGAUGAGAGACCACAUAGGAAAACCUGGUACAGUAUGUGUA